Aethalodelphis obliquidens (Pacific white-sided dolphin) is the source of this 943-nucleotide long non-coding RNA. RefSeq lists it as uncharacterized. Lineage: Eukaryota; Metazoa; Chordata; Mammalia; Artiodactyla; Delphinidae. The record is from RefSeq and is a predicted model, not a curated record. The transcript has 3 exons.
AUGAUCAUUGAUAUUUAGGAGAUAAAAUUAUAAUGACUUGGGGAGUGCUGGUAAUCUAUGUGGGCUUUACCUAACUAGUUCCUUCUAUUCUCUGUGCCCCAUACCUCUACAGAGUCGACAGUGGAGAGAGCAAGGACUCAGGUAUCAGACACAUUAAUCCCAGUUUACUACUUAGCUGCUGUGUUACCUUGGGCAAGUCACCUAACUUCUCUGGACUGCAGUUUUCCUCAAACGGGGGCAAUAUGAAGCAUGAUCACAGAGGGCUUUCCUUUCCUGCAUGUCUCCGAGCAAAAGCUGAAAAGAAAGCUCCUGGAGCAGGACCUGGAGGAGGCCACUGUCUGGCUGGAUGGAGAAAGGGGAGGCAAAGAGAGAGCAGGGGCCGGGAAGUUGACAGGAACAGGCUAAAGGAGGCUCGGAGAAGAAGUCCACAGAACUAAUAAGUGGUGGAACCUGGUGCCACCCACAGCCCUUGGUCUCCAACACUCUUCACCUCACACAGCUCUCCUGGCAGUGCUCAGAGAAGGCUGUGUCCUCCUCACUUCCACAGAAGUUGGCAUCGUAUGUGGUCAAAGCUCAGUUUGCCAGAAGGACGCCGUGGGGUGAUCAUACCUUCCUCCAUCUGAACGUGUCCUCUGACCAUGCCUUCUGUAGGAGCCGAGGCAUUGUAAGAGUGGUAAAUGCAAUUAAGAAUGGGAAUGACCUUAAUGUGCAACAGCAGUGGAUUGGGUAAACAAAUUUUGGUCUCCCCGUUUAAAAUAUCCUAUCUGGCUGUCAGAAUGAUAAGGCAGAAGAAUAUUUAACUUCAUGGAAAAAUGCUCCUGACGUAUUGGGACAUUGAAGAAGUACACUUACUUUCUUUCUUUCUUUUUAUUUUUAUUUUUUUGCGGUAUGCGGGCCUCUCACUGCUGUGGCCUCUCCCGUUGCGGAGCACAGGCUCCGGACG